Molecule: ribosomal RNA, 497 nt
Filed under: uncultured bacterium
Lineage: Bacteria
Description: partial 16S ribosomal RNA
Rfam family: Bacterial small subunit ribosomal RNA
Source: RNAcentral
GAUGAACGCUGGCGGCGUGCCUAAUACAUGCAAGUCGAGCGAACGGACGAGAAGCUUGCUUCUCUGAUGUUAGCGGCGGACGGGUGAGUAACACGUGUAUAACCUACCUAUAAGACUGGGAUAACUUCGGGAAACCGGAGCUAAUACCGGAUAAGAUUUUGAACCGCAUGGUUCAAAAGUGAAAUACGGUCUUGCUGUCACUUAUAGAGGGAUCCGCGCUGCAUUAUCUAGUUGGUAAGGUAACGGCUUACCAAGGCAACGAUGCAUAGCCGAACUGAGAGGGUGAUCGGCCACCCUGGAACUGAGACACGGUCCAGACUCCUACGGGAGGCAGCAGUAGGGAAUCUUCCGCAAUGGGCGAAAGCCUGACGGAGCAACGCCGCGUGAGUGAUGAAGGUCUUCGGAUCGUAAAACUCUGUUAUUAGGGAAGAACAUAUGUGUAAGUAACUGUGCACAUCUUGACGGUAACUAAUCAGAAAGCCACGGCUAACUACGUG